CCUACGGGAGGCAGCAGUGGGGAAUUUUGGACAAUGGGCGCAAGCCUGAUCCAGCAAUGCCGCGUGCAGGAUGAAGGCCUUCGGGUUGUAAACUGCUUUUGUACGGAGCGAAACGGUCUGCUUUAAUACAGUGGGCUAAUGACGGUACCGUAAGAAUAAGCACCGGCUAACUACGUGCCAGCAGCCGCGGUAAUACGUAGGGUGCAAGCGUUAAAUCGGAAUUACUGGGCGUAAAGCGUGCGCAGGCGGUUAUAUAAGACAGAUGUGAAAUCCCCGGGCUCAACCUGGGACCUGCAUUUGUGACUGUAUAGCUAGAGUACGGUAGAGGGGGAUGGAAUUCCGCGUGUAGCAGUGAAAUGCGUAGAUAUGCGGAGGAACACCGAUGGCGAAGGCAAUCCCCUGGACCUGUACUGACGCUCAUGCACGAAAGCGUGGGGAGCAAACAGGAUUAGAUACCCUGGUAGUCCACGCCCUAAACGAUGUCAACUGGUUNUUGGGUCUUCACUUGACUCAGUAACGAAGCUAACGCGUGAAGUUGACCGCCGNGGAGGACGGCGCGAGUAGAACGACGAANAGAGUAGACGGACGUGAGACGAGACCGACGGACGACGACGAGGGGAGGAGG
Molecule: ribosomal RNA, 625 nt
Filed under: uncultured bacterium
Lineage: Bacteria
Description: bacterial SSU rRNA
Rfam family: Bacterial small subunit ribosomal RNA (bases 1-544)
Source: RNAcentral